RNAcentral lists this ribosomal RNA (742 nucleotides) under uncultured Planctomycetota bacterium. RNAcentral describes it as "bacterial SSU rRNA". It matches the Rfam family "Bacterial small subunit ribosomal RNA", at positions 552 to 1283 of the family's 1533-position model. The record is from RNAcentral. Lineage: Bacteria; Pseudomonadati; Planctomycetota.
AAUUCGCCCUUGAGCACGUAGGUGGGUUUGUAAGUCAGAUGUGAAAGCCUUCUGUUCAACGGAAGAAUUGCAUCUGAAACUGCGAGUCUUGAGUGUAGGAGGGGAGAAUGGAACUCCUGGUGGAGCGGUGAAAUGCGUAGAUAUCAGAAGGAACGCCGGCGGCGAAAGCGAUUCUCUGGCCUAUUACUGACACUCAGUGUGCGAAAGCUAGGGGAGCAAACGGGAUUAGAUACCCCGGUAGUCCUAGCCGUAAACGAUGGGCACUAAGUAGAGGGAAUUACCGAUGUUCUCUCUGCCGUAGCUAACGCAUUAAGUGCCCCGCCUGGGGAGUACGGCCGCAAGGCUAAAACUCAAAAGAAUUGACGGGGGCUCGCACAAGCGGUGGAGCAUGUGGCUUAAUUCGAUGCAACGCGAAGAACCUUACCGGGGCUUGACAUGGUAGAAGUAGGAACCCGAAAGGGUAACGAACGGUAUCCAGUCCGUAACUAUCACAGGUGUUGCAUGGCUGUCGUCAGCUCGUGUCGUGAGAUGUUGGGUUAAGUCCCCUAACGAGCGAAACCCUUGUUUUUAGUUACCAGCGGGUUGUGCCGGGUACUCCAGAAAGACUGCCGUCGUCAAGACGGAGGAAGGUGGGGAUGACGUCAAGUCAUCAUGGUCCUUAUGCCCCGGGCUGCACACGUGCUACAAUGGUCAGUACAAACGGAAGCGAAGCCGAGAGGUGAAGCGAAUCCAAGGGCGAAUU